AAAACUGCAGUGCAGUAGUUUUGGUGACAUCUUUGAUCUGGCAAAAGAAUGUAAAUGGGACAAUCUGAAAGAAGCACGGGACCUCCUUUUUGCAAACUCCGAUCAUUACAACUUUUUUGAUUUGAAGCGUCUUGUGUGCAUACACCUGGCGCUCUCCUCAGCUGGGGAGCAAGUAAUGUCAGCUGACGAGGUAUAUCAGCAGUUUGUUCGGCCGUUGAAUACUCUGGAUCAUAGUAAAACUGACUGCUGGUCACCUUUCUUCAUGAUGAUGUUUCUGUGGCCAAUACCUGAUACCAUCUCUGAAAGACGGGACAGGGACGAUUUAACAGCACACAUAGAUAGAUUACAGCAACGAUGGAUCGGUCGGCUGAAGCACUGGGGCCAACAGUCGUCACGCGAAGACAAGUUUAGUUGUCACGCACGUUUUCAUGUGAAACCAAGAACCCAUUUCUUUUUGGGUCACGGUAAAGAUCUCAAGAGUUUCGUUCACAUCCACGAAAUCCUUGCGACUCAAAAAAGGCUUGAACAUGGCAAUUUCUGGCAGUCAAAAGUUGUAAAGAAAUUACUAUUCCGCUUGGAAGGGACUCUUUUCAGUAAUACCACUCUGUUUCAUCGUUCCUCGAAGGGCAAGAAGAUAAAUGUGAAGUUAGCAUAUCCGUACUUGAAACACACUCCCAGUCAAGAAAUUGUGACUUUCUACCUGGGAUUCAGCUGGAAUGGGCCAGUUGCAUACAAUGUAAUACCAAAGGGUAAAGAGUCUUGUCACGAUACAGUUCAGCGGAACUUUAAUCAGGCGUACCCAGAGCAUAUUUUGCCAAUCAACAAAACAAGGGUGUCCCCAUCAGAUGGCAUGUCGGAGUUCGAGCGGAUGAUGGAACCACUUGAACUGGAGAGAGAACUUUGAAAGCUAAGAGCUUUGAUACAAGAGUGCAGCCCGUCAGAACACCGCAAGAAGAGAAAACUGAAGGUCAAACUAGAGGAGAAAACAGCCCAAUUUAUCUCUGCUUGGCAGGAAGAUGAUGAAGGACUGUAAGCAGUAUUGUGUCCAUUCAAGCAGGUCAUCACAGAGCCACUUUACUUGAGAAGACAGAAAGUCCGGAAAGACUCUCUUGGGGUAGCCUACUGAAAUGAGACAGAUAUCUUUCAAGUUUUGUGGAUAUUUACAGUAGCUAUCCACACGUAAUACACUUUAAUAAAAGUAAUGCUUGAGGCAUAAAAUAAAGGUCAAUUUCAAACAUCAGUCAGUGCAUGCCUGUGAGAAUUAUGCACAUGGGCUUACGCACCAUUUUUAAAGGGCAGGUAGAACCAUUUAGCUUGCCUAUAAAUAUAUUGCGCCAUUAGCGUAUUUGGCCUAUUAAGUUUUCCAUUUUUUGGCCAUUCGAAGAAUACGGUAGCAAGAGAACCUGUCAACGUUCCCAAACUGCCAUGAAAUUUCUUUGAAACUUCAGUACUUUCCAAAAUGUAUGCAGUUUUCUGUAAAACGCCUACACAGUACGUUUCUAGUUUAAUUUGCUCUUAAAGUCAUUACCAUCUUCUGUGGUAAUAAAGCACAACGAAGUUGAUGUUAGAGCAGAACAUUCAGCAAUUUUCGAAUUCAUUAGUGCAAGGUGUUCAUUACACUGGUGGUGCCUACAUCUAGUAUUGGCUGAUGCAUGUUCAUUACAGGGAGACUUCCACGCCACCAUGACUAAACACAUAACUUCAAAUUUUAGGCUGGAUAUGUGAGAGGAGGUAAGAAUGAUUUACUCGAAUUUAUCACUUUUAAAAAACUUCUGGAACGUUUUGUGAGAUUUUCUUAGAUUUCUUCAAGGGUGCCAGGCUAGGGGACCCUCAGAUGCAUUGUUUGACUUUCGGACGAAAUUCCAUGACUCUGAAAUCGUUCACAAAGGUUCAAAAGCCUGUAUCGCGCACAGACUACUAUGCUGAUCGGCUGUCGCGCACCCAGGGUUAGUCGAUCUUGGGCACAGACACACAAACCCACAGAUGGACAGCUCCCAUUCAAAACAACGGAGGGAUUCUGUAGCCGAGACGGCCCCAACUAAAUCAAAAGCGUGGGUAAAUUCAUCUCUCGGUGUAGGGAAUUUACACAAAGUUGAAGAAUUCCAGCCAUAAAUUUCUAUGAAACCAUUUUUCGAUUAUGAAAAAAAUCCUCUAUUUACUUAAUCUGGCCCAUACACAUUCAAAACAAUGCGGUUACAACAUUUGUAAAGAAGCAAAUAGCCGUACCAAAGAUAAAAAAGUGAACUUUUUUGAGAGCAUAAUGUAAAUAAUACGUGCUUUCCAGGUAGACCGUGGGCCAGAAAUUAUACCUUGCAGUUUCGUUGAGAGUUUGGAGUGGCAAAUUACUUUUUGCUGUAAUAAAUACCUUACAUACUAUGAAUCAAUAUUUUGUCUGUUGCCGUCCGGAUGUUUUGCUCUUUUGUGAAAAAUAAGGGUAUAAAAAUGCGAAAAUGCUCGUGUUUUGUUCGCCAUUUUUCAAUGUGUAAAUUGAGGGCGCUGUCUCCAGCCUCGAUCCUUUAUCAAUUUGAGCUCAUGAAAUACCACCUUUGCACCUGGGGACGAGUGCCACUCGAAGUGAAAAUGGCGCCGUCCGUUAGCAAACGGGCGUUUGCCGUGUUUACGAAGAACAGAAGAAAUUAUUGGUGACAAUAUGUGAAAUUUUGCGUGUAGUUGAAACAGUUUGAUGAAUAGUAAAGAGAGGUUGCUCUGAAAAAGGUAGAAAUAGCUUCUUGGCCUUCCAAACAUGCGAAAGUUCAAUACCAAACUUUGCAUACAAGGCGUUUGUCAGUCAUGUCAGUUUUAAAUUGUGCUUCUCCGUCGUGUCCUUGGGAUCGAGGUUUGUCUGUGUCAGUUAAAAUACUGACCAGAGUGAUGGUUCUGAUUUAAGAAGCAGGUGCAAUUUUAGGACAACAGACAUUAUUUCUGUAAUUCUUAUUUCUACCAAAAAAGUCAAGUUGAAUUUUUUUUCGGAGGACGGGAUUCCACAGCAUUUCCGUGCAAAUAAAGUCAUGACCCUUGAUAGUCAUUUUUCUAGUUGCAGAUCUUUCCUAAGUCUGGAUCGUUUGAAUUCAAACUGCAUUCUUCAGUUCGCAUUUCUAAGAAAGGUUCUAUUUGAAAGGUAAAAUAUAUUCUUUCUCAAACUUUCUGAACUAGGCCAGAUUUCUAGUUCACACUUCGACAUUUGAGUAUGUUAAAAUCACUGGAGCUAAAAAAUCGGCAACAAUUUGCAGGGCGAUAGGUCACUCACUAAGUGUGAUUCCAAUACAUUUUGUAUAAGACAGUUGUAGGCUAUACAUGUUUACAGCUAAUCAAAUGAAUUAGAAUUUUUGUCUUCAAAAUCGGCUGAAAAGUGAACACUUUUCUUCUGGAUCGCAUGCUAAGUGCACGCAAAUGCAGGUAGGCCUACGUUACAAACUCAACUAUACUAACCUAGCAAAAAUGUGACUGUGUGGGUUUGUCAGAGCACGGCGUGGGGAUGGUAUUGACAGCAUGCUGUACAGCUGAUAAAGUUGAGUGACAGUUUACUCAUGUUCUGCUUUUUAAUUUGUUGGAGUUAGCUAUGAAACUUUUAUUUAUGAACUAUUUUUCUCUCAGAAAUCCUCCAUUAGAAAAUCAGCUUGUUGCCAUGGCUGAAAUUUGGAUUUUCGUGCGGAAAGCUCAGAAUCAGAAAGUCAUUUUGCAGUAUCUCUUGCACACAAGGUGGACUACUGCCCACAUUUCACUGCAAUUUGAAGAUUUUUUGUAAAUGCAAUCUGACUGAAUAAUUUUUGCGAUCUGAAAUUAGGAAAAAGAAUAAACGUAUGAAUAAAUAUAAUUUAUUUCUGUAUGUAGCUUAUGCUUCUUGAUGGUCCGUCUGGAAGUUGUACAAGCCAUGUAGCCGUGGUUUUGGUCCAUUUCGCGUAGUUUGUUGUAUUGCGCAUUUCAGGGUACGUUGGCUAAUUUACCCGUAAAUCAUCUUGAUUUGUAUAUCACCGAUUUAAAUCGUAAUUUAAAUCAAGUUAUUUUUAAAUUGGUGAUUUUGAAUCAGCAUGUUUAAUUUAGGGAGGAAAAAAAUUCAAUUGUCUGCUGAGCUCAUUAAUAAAAGUUGUACACUCAACAAAUUCUAUAUUAGGGGUCCUGAGAGCCAUGGAACUUGGGACAAGUCUUGGAGCAAGGUUAAUGGGAGACUAGCAGUGCUACGGUCUUUGAUAUUAUUGUCGAAAAUAUGCAAUAAUUUACCACAAUAGCAACUUAUAGCAACAAUGUUUUAGUAUGGAGAAUUCGAAUUGUUAUGUUGACGUAAAUUAAAAGAACCCAGUGUUCCAGAUUUUAUU
Molecule: long non-coding RNA, 4313 nt
Organism: Acanthaster planci (crown-of-thorns starfish)
Lineage: Eukaryota; Metazoa; Echinodermata; Asteroidea; Valvatida; Acanthasteridae
Source: RefSeq, a predicted model, not a curated record